RNAcentral lists this ribosomal RNA (629 nucleotides) under uncultured fungus. RNAcentral describes it as "eukaryotic LSU rRNA". It matches the Rfam family "Eukaryotic large subunit ribosomal RNA", at positions 23 to 673 of the family's 3401-position model. Lineage: Eukaryota; Fungi. The record is from RNAcentral.
ACCCGCUGAAUUUAAGCAUAUCAAUAAGCGGAGGAAAAGAAACCAACAGGGAUUGCUCUAGUAACGGCGAGUGAAGCAGCAAUAGCUCAAAUUUGAAAUCUGGCGUCUUCGACGUCCGAGUUGUAAUUUGUAGAGGAUGCUUCUGAGUAACCACCGACCUAAGUUCCUUGGAACAGGACGUCAUAGAGGGUGAGAAUCCCGUAUGCGGUCGGAAAGGUGCUCUAUACGUAGCUCCUUCGACGAGUCGAGUUGUUUGGGAAUGCAGCUCUAAAUGGGAGGUAAAUUUCUUCUAAAGCUAAAUAUUGGCCAGAGACCGAUAGCGCACAAGUAGAGUGAUCGAAAGAUGAAAAGCACUUUGGAAAGAGAGUUAAAAAGCACGUGAAGUUGUUAAAAGGGAAGGGAUUGCAACCAGACUUGCUCGCGGUGUUCCGCCGGUCUUCUGACCGGUCUACUCGCCGCGUUGCAGGCCAGCAUCGUCUGGUGCCGCUGGAUAAGACUUGAGGAAUGUAGCUCCUUCGGGAGUGUUAUAGCCUCUUGUGAUGCAGCGAGCGCCGGGCGAGGUCCGCGCUUCGGCUAGGAUGCUGGCGUAAUGGUCGUAAUCCGCCCGUCUUGAAACCCGGACCAAGGAG